RNAcentral lists this ribosomal RNA (497 nucleotides) under uncultured bacterium. Its description in RNAcentral is "partial 16S ribosomal RNA". It matches the Rfam family "Bacterial small subunit ribosomal RNA", at positions 28 to 507 of the family's 1533-position model. The record is from RNAcentral.
GAUGAACGCUGGCGGCGUGCCUAAUACAUGCAAGUCGAGCGAACAGAUGAGGAGCUUGCUCCUCUGACGUUAGCGGCGGACGGGUGAGUAACACGUGGAUAACCUACCUAUAAGACUGGGAUAACUUCGGGAAACCGGAGCUAAUACCGGAUAAUAUAUUGAACCGCAUGGUUCAAUAGUGAAAGACGGUUUUGCUGUCACUUAUAGAUGGAUCCGCGCCGCAUUAGCUAGUUGGUAAGGUAACGGCUUACCAAGGCAACGAUGCGUAGCCGACCUGAGAGGGUGAUCGGCCACACUGGAACUGAGACACGGUCCAGACUCCUACGGGGGGCAGCAGUAGGGAAUCUUCCGCAACGGGCGAAAGCCUGACGGAGCAACGCCGCGUGAGUGAUGAAGGUCUUCGGAUCGUAAAACUCUGUUAUUAGGGAAGAACAAAUGUGUAAGUAACUAUGCACGUCUUGACGGUACCUAAUCAGAAAGCCACGGCUAACUACGUG